Molecule: ribosomal RNA, 632 nt
Filed under: uncultured Bacteroidales bacterium
Lineage: Bacteria; Pseudomonadati; Bacteroidota; Bacteroidia; Bacteroidales
Description: bacterial SSU rRNA
Rfam family: Bacterial small subunit ribosomal RNA
Source: RNAcentral
CUUAGCUUGCUAAGGCCGAUGGCGACCGGCGCACGGGUGAGUAACACGUAUCCAACCUGCCGUCUACUCUUGGACAGCCUUCUGAAAGGAAGAUUAAUACAAGAUGGCAUCAUGAGUCCGCAUGUUCACAUGAUUAAAGGUAUUCCGGUAGACGGUGGGGAUGCGUUCCAUUAGAUAGUAGGCGGGGUAACGGCCCACCUAGUCUUCGAUGGAUAGGGGUUCUGAGAGGAAGGUCCCCCACAUUGGAACUGAGACACGGUCCAAACUCCUACGGGAGGCAGCAGUGAGGAAUAUUGGUCAAUGGGCGAGAGCCUGAACCAGCCAAGUAGCGUGAAGGAUGACUGCCCUAUGGGUUGUAAACUUCUUUUAUAAAGGAAUAAAGUCGGGUAUGCAUACCCGUUUGCAUGUACUUUAUGAAUAAGGAUCGGCUAACUCCGUGCCAGCAGCCGCGGUAAUACGGAGGAUUCGAGCGUUAUCCGGAUUUAUUGGGUUUAAAGGGAGCGUAGAUGGAUGUUUAAGUCAGUUGUGAAAGUUUGCGGCUCAACCGUAAAAUUGCAGUUGAUACUGGAUAUCUUGAGUGCAGUUGAGGCAGGCGGAAUUCGUGGUGUAGCGGUGAAAUGCUUAGAUAUCAC